GGGAGGGGAUAGGGUCCGGUGGCUCUACUGGUCUUCAAAACCAGCUUGUCCAUGCAAGUGGAUAGGUGGGUUCGACUCCCACCCUCUCCCGCCA
This 94-nucleotide transfer RNA is filed under the name Candidatus Poribacteria bacterium. Its description in RNAcentral is "tRNA-Sec". It matches the Rfam family "Selenocysteine transfer RNA". The record is from RNAcentral. Lineage: Bacteria; Candidatus Poribacteria.